GAUGAAGAACGCAGCGAAAUGCGAUAAGUAAUGCGAAUUGCAGAAUCCGUGAGUCAUCGAAUCUUUGAACGCACAUUGCGCCCUCUGGUAUUCCGGAGGGCAUGCCUGUUCGAGCGUCAUUAUCACCCCUCAAGCCCGGCUUGUUGUUGGAUGCAGCGCUUAUCCCGCUCCUCCCAAAGAUAAUGAAGGCGUCUGCGACGACUCCUGUACACUGAGCUUUCGGGCACGUACACGGCUAGAAGUCCAGACCCGGUCGCCGUCCCCCCCGCGGGGACACCCAUUACCACAAGGUUGACCUCGGAUCAGGUAGGAAUACCCGCUGAACUUAAGCAUAUCAAUAAGCGGAGGA
Molecule: unclassified non-coding RNA, 349 nt
Filed under: soil metagenome
Description: partial contains 5.8S ribosomal RNA, internal transcribed spacer 2, and large subunit ribosomal RNA
Rfam family: 5.8S ribosomal RNA (bases 1-119)
Source: RNAcentral